Molecule: transfer RNA, 76 nt
Filed under: Erythrobacter sp.
Lineage: Bacteria; Pseudomonadati; Pseudomonadota; Alphaproteobacteria; Sphingomonadales; Erythrobacteraceae
Also listed under: 1 other name
Description: tRNA-Thr
Rfam family: tRNA
About the family: Transfer RNA (tRNA) molecules are approximately 80 nucleotides in length. Their secondary structure includes four short double-helical elements and three loops (D, anti-codon, and T loops).
Source: RNAcentral
GCCGGCUUAGCUCAGUUGGUAGAGCAGUUGAUUUGUAAUCAUCAGGUCGUUGGUUCGAUUCCGACAGCCGGCACCG